UACGGAGGGGGCUAGCGUUGUUCGGAAUUACUGGGCGUAAAGCGCACGUAGGCGGCUUUGCAAGUUACGAGGUGAAAGCCCGGGGCUCAACCUCGGAAUUGCCUUUAGACUGCAUCGCUAGAAUUGUGGAGAGGUAAGUGGAAUUCCGAGUGUAGAGGUGAAAUUCGUAGAUAUUCGGAAGAACACCAGUGGCGAAGGCGACUUACUGGACACAUAUUGACGCUGAGGUGCGAAAGCGUGGGGAGCAAACAGG
Molecule: ribosomal RNA, 253 nt
Filed under: uncultured bacterium
Lineage: Bacteria
Description: partial 16S ribosomal RNA
Rfam family: Bacterial small subunit ribosomal RNA
Source: RNAcentral